Molecule: long non-coding RNA, 242 nt
Filed under: Capsicum annuum
Lineage: Eukaryota; Viridiplantae; Streptophyta; Magnoliopsida; Solanales; Solanaceae
Description: long non-coding RNA (CANN_LNC001225)
Source: RNAcentral
GCUUCUAUUCCUUUCACAUUCAUGUCAAAAUCUUCCCUCACAAGCUUUAUAGGUGAUACUACAAGACUUACUAACUGCUUCUGUCACCCAAAUAAUCUAGGUGGGUUUCUUUAACAAUUUUCUUCACUAUUCUCCUCUUCCUGACAGUUUGCGACCUCAUACAUGUCUCUCUGCCUAUGAGUUUCUCCCUACUUACUAAGUACUUGAGUUAACAUCUCAGUAGGCCUUACAACAGCCCUGCC